Molecule: long non-coding RNA, 675 nt
Organism: Antechinus flavipes (yellow-footed antechinus)
Lineage: Eukaryota; Metazoa; Chordata; Mammalia; Dasyuromorphia; Dasyuridae
Exons: 3
Source: RefSeq, a predicted model, not a curated record
CUUCCCCUAAACCCUGGCUUAGCCGGGCCGACUCCGCCCGGGCAACAGUGGUGGGGGUGGAGAGGUUUCUGUCAGAGGUUGAGGCAGCAGUGGGGGGCAGCGGCUUCCCAGAUGUGAGCUAGGAAGCCGAAGCUCCCCGCCAACCGCGGGAGAAGAGUAUAAACAAUCUGCGAGGCUGGGAACCCCGUUCGUAUCCCGGGAAAACCUCUCCCUUCCUGGGGAAGGGGCAGGGAGCAACUUUUACCAGGUUCACUUCAAGGAUGCCAGACCUGGAACCUGGAAGCAUCCACUCUCAGUCAGGCACGCUGCAAGGUUGGGAGGAAACUGCCUUACCUAUGGCUCAUAGCGAUGGCUUCAUUUCAACCCUCUUCUCCCUCAGGGAGGAAGGUGAGGAGGGAUGCUAAAAAACAAUGAUCUGACCCGGACCCUUCCUGUUCAGCAUCAUCCUGGGAGGAAGGAGGAAAGCCAAAGAGAAGAAAGGGGGGGGGAUAGCUAAGAACCAGGCUUCCUUCAUUUUUACAAGUGCCCUGACAUAUGGGUUACUGAAUAAAUCCUGUUUGAAAGCUGUCUUUUUUUUUCUUGGCAGAUUGUAGUGAGUCUGUGUAUCACUUUCUUUGCUCGUCAUACACUCUUGGAGAAGCAGGGUUAUAGUUUUUAGGGUGUGUGUAUGAGUGU